CGAUAACGAACGAGACCUUAACCUGCUAACUAGUUGCAGGUACGUGAGUAUCUGCAUACUUCUUAGAGGGACUGACUACGCUUGGUAGUCGGAAGUUUGAGGCAAUAACAGGUCUGUGAUGCCCUUAGAUGUUCUGGGCUGCACGCGCGCUACACUGACAAAGCCAGCGAGUCUACCUUGGCCGAGAGGCCUGGGAAAUCUUGUGAAACUUUGUCGUGCUGGGGAUAGAUCAUUGCAAUUAUUGGUCUUGAACGAGGAAUUCCUAGUAAGCGCAUGUCAUUAGCAUGCGUUGAUUACGUCCCUGCCCUUUGUACACACCGCCCGUCGCUACUACCGAUUGAAUGG
RNAcentral lists this ribosomal RNA (345 nucleotides) under uncultured eukaryote. Its description in RNAcentral is "SSU rRNA". It matches the Rfam family "Eukaryotic small subunit ribosomal RNA", at positions 1326 to 1696 of the family's 1831-position model. The record is from RNAcentral.